Molecule: ribosomal RNA, 502 nt
Filed under: uncultured bacterium
Lineage: Bacteria
Description: partial 16S ribosomal RNA
Rfam family: Bacterial small subunit ribosomal RNA
Source: RNAcentral
GAUGAACGCUAGCGGCAGGCUUAAUACAUGCAAGUCGAGGGGCAGCGCGGGUAGCAAUACCUGGCGGCGACCGGCAAACGGGUGCGGAACACGUACGCAACCUUCCCAUAACUGGUGAAUAGCCCUCCGAAAGGAGGAUUAAUACACCGUAACAUAACGAAGAGGCAUCUUUUUGUUAUUAUAGUAGCAAUACGGUUUUGGAUGGGCGUGCGCCUGAUUAGGUAGUUGGCGGGGUAACGGCCCACCAAGCCUGCGAUCAGUAACUGGUGUGAAAGCACGAGCAGUCACACGGUGACUGAGACACGGGCCCGACUCCUACGGGGGGCAGCAUUAAGGAAUAUUGGUCAAUGGACGAAAGUCUGAACCAGCCAUGCCGCGUGAAGGAUUAAGGCCCUCUGGGUUGUAAACUUCUUUUAUCUGGGACGAAAAAAGGGCAUUCUUGCUCACUUGACGGUACCAGAGGAAUAAGCACCGGCUAACUCCGUGCCAGCCGCCGCCGUAA